UAAACGACUCUCGGCAACGGAUAUCUCGGCUCUCGCAUCGAUGAAGAACGUAGCGAAAUGCGAUACUUGGUGUGAAUUGCAGAAUCCCGUGAACCAUCGAGUCUUUGAACGCAAGUUGCGCCCGAAGCCUCGGCUAAGGGCACGUCUGCCUGGGCGUCACGC
This 162-nucleotide ribosomal RNA is filed under the name Gypsophila repens. Its description in RNAcentral is "5.8S ribosomal RNA". It matches the Rfam family "5.8S ribosomal RNA". Rfam says of the family: 5.8S ribosomal RNA (5.8S rRNA) is a component of the large subunit of the eukaryotic ribosome. It is transcribed by RNA polymerase I as part of the 45S precursor that also contains 18S and 28S rRNA. Lineage: Eukaryota; Viridiplantae; Streptophyta; Magnoliopsida; Caryophyllales; Caryophyllaceae. The record is from RNAcentral.